Bacteroides caecimuris is the source of this 213-nucleotide small RNA. The record is from Rfam. Lineage: Bacteria; Pseudomonadati; Bacteroidota; Bacteroidia; Bacteroidales; Bacteroidaceae.
AUAGCGGACAAGCUACAGGGGAUUUUGCUUCAAAUGAUAAUAAAUCCAAAGAAUUUUCAAAAAGAUGUUAUAUGACAUGUUUUAUAAUUUGGAUAGUAUCAGUAAAACCGCCUAUAUUUGCACCGUUAUCCUGAAAACAAUCUUUUUACCUUAAAAAAAACUAAUACCUAUUGAAAACUGAAAAAUGGAGCUUUGUGAAAAGCCCCAUUUUUU